GACGAACGCUGGCGGCGUGCUUAACACAUGCAAGUCGAACGGAAAGGCCCUGCUUUUGUGGGGUGCUCGAGUGGCGAACGGGUGAGUAACACGUGAGUAACCUGCCCUUGACUUUGGGAUAACUUCAGGAAACUGGGGCUAAUACCGGUUAGGAGCUCCUGCUGCAUGGUGGGGGUUGGAAAGUUUCGGCGGUUGGGGAUGGACUCGCGGCUUAUCAGCUUGUUGGUGGGGUAGUGGCUUACCAAGGCUUUGACGGGUAGCCGGCCUGAGAGGGUGACCGGCCACAUUGGGACUGAGAUACGGCCCAGACUCCUACGGGAGGCAGCAGUGGGGAAUAUUGCACAAUGGGCGGAAGCCUGAUGCAGCAACGCCGCGUGCGGGAUGACGGCCUUCGGGUUGUAAACCGCUUUCGCCUGUGACGAAGCGUGAGUGUCGGUAAUGGGUAAAGAAGCACCGGCUAACUACGUG
Molecule: ribosomal RNA, 468 nt
Filed under: uncultured bacterium
Lineage: Bacteria
Description: partial 16S ribosomal RNA
Rfam family: Bacterial small subunit ribosomal RNA
Source: RNAcentral